Molecule: long non-coding RNA, 434 nt
Organism: Lacerta agilis (Sand lizard)
Lineage: Eukaryota; Metazoa; Chordata; Lepidosauria; Squamata; Lacertidae
Exons: 3
Source: RefSeq, a predicted model, not a curated record
CACUCUGGUCAUUGCUGAGAAGAAAAUAACAACAGAGGACUCUAAGAACUUGCCCGAUAUAAGCUGGUGUAAUCUUGAGUGUGAGCUGGAAUUCCCCUUCUUCAAAGCUCAGCUCAUCCACAAAUUGGAAAAGUAGCGUUAGACCUGGAACUGCUGAUAGCUUAAACUACGGUUUAUUGAAGAAGGCCAGGAUCAGAAACCAUAGUUUGAUCUUGGAUUAUUUAAAUAAGCCAUCGUUUAAAUUAACCACAUUUUGACCUUAUUAAACACAACAAGUCUGAACCAGGCUCAUUUGUGUAGCACUAAACUGAUUCUGAGUUCUGUUCAAACGGGACCAAUAUUUGUGGACUCCUUUGAGAACCUAGGAAAAACACUGUGGGUGGAAUUCAACAUUGUGCUAUGGUGAAUGUCUUGCAGUUUGCCAGAUGGAAGGA